This 792-nucleotide ribosomal RNA is filed under the name Triticum aestivum (bread wheat). RNAcentral describes it as "partial small subunit ribosomal RNA". Lineage: Eukaryota; Viridiplantae; Streptophyta; Magnoliopsida; Poales; Poaceae. The record is from RNAcentral.
CAUCCUUUCCCAGUUCUCCAAAAAAAAUUCUCCUUCUUUCCCAAACCAAACCUUAUCUGUUCUCCUCCAUUCCCCCAAAUUGACCAGACCACCAGUCUGUCACUCGCUUCUCACUGCUGCCAACCGCUGGUCGCCGGUCUUGCCAACUCUCGCCGCCCUCUGCAGUGAGGGCCCUCCAGGCCUCCACGCCAGGUGCCGGGUGUUGGCUGCUGGUGCUUCUCCUUCUCUCACUGCUUCUCCGCUCACGCUGCAUGCUGCCGUGCAGUGGACCGCUGAUGCUGCCGCCGGCUAGUAAACUAAACAGUGAACUGUUGUUGAAGCGUCGAAGGAGCAAGACUGCUGCAAGAGCAAAGGUAACAACCAUGGUCUAGGAGAGCAUAUCUGUAGUUAUUGGUUGUAGGCAUCUUUUGGUCAGUCCGGUGUGUUCUACAGUUGUGGCUAUGGAGCACUUUUGGCCAGUUCGGUGUAUUCUACAGUUGUGGUUAUGGAGCACUGGAUAACAGUAGUAAUUAUCCACAAGACCAGAUGCUGGAGUCCAGGAGCCAGACGCCACCGUCGACGACGACUACUACACUGGAGGUGCCUACUACUGCGUGCAGGCUGCUGUCGACGACCAGGAGUAGUUUAGGAGGAUCCCAGGCAGGAGGCCUGCGCCUCUUUCGAUCUGUAUCCCAGUUUGUGCUAGCCUUCUUAAGGCAAACUUAUUUAACUUAUGUCUGUACUCAGAUAUUGUUGCUUUCGCUGACUCGUCUAUGAUCGAGCACUUGUAUUCGAGCCCUCGAGGCCCCUGGC